RNAcentral lists this ribosomal RNA (300 nucleotides) under uncultured Natrialba sp. RNAcentral's name for it is "bacterial SSU rRNA". It matches the Rfam family "Archaeal small subunit ribosomal RNA", at positions 447 to 746 of the family's 1478-position model. The record is from RNAcentral. Lineage: Archaea; Methanobacteriati; Methanobacteriota; Halobacteria; Halobacteriales; Natrialbaceae.
CAAGACCGGUGCCAGCCGCCGCGGUAAUACCGGCAGCACAAGUGAUGACCGCUGUUAUUGGGCCUAAAGCGUCCGUAGCUGGCCAGACAAGUUCAUCGGGAAAUCUGUGCGCCUAACGCACAGGCGUCCGGUGGAAACUGCCUGGCUUGGGACCGGAAGACCAGAGGGGUACGUCUGGGGUAGGAGUGAAAUCCCGUAAUCCUGGACGGACCACCGGUGGCGAAAGCGCCUCUGGAAGACGGAUCCGACGGUGAGGGACGAAAGCUCGGGUCACGAACCGGAUUAGAUACCCCAGUAGUC